CAUACACACACACACACACACACACACACACACACACAGAGCCCACUUUUGUAUAUGUGUGCAUGUGUGUUUGUGUGUGUGCUUGUGCAUGUAGAGGCCAUAAGACAACCUCGGGUGUCAGUCCUCAGUACUCAGCCAUCCUGUUUCUUGAGACCUCGUCUCUCACUGGGAACUGAGGACCCCUUUUUGGCCUAUGCCCUUGUCCAGGGAGCUGCUGGAAUCUACUCCACACCUCCCCAGCGGAAAUGCAUAUCCCCAGCUUCAGGUGUGCACUGGGGAUCCAACUCGGGUCUUCACAGCCGCAUGGAAGGCAGCUGACCUGCUCGACUAGGCUGUCUCCCCAGCCUCAGCUCCCAUACUCCUAGCAUAAGUAAGCUCUUCACCUGACUCGCCUCAGCUCAUUUUGUUUUUAUACUUAAAGAUAAAGGUGGGGCUGAAAAGAUAUGUCAGUGGUUAAAAGAGCUUGCUUCUCUCAUUGAAAUGGAACUCAAAAACUCAACUCUGGGACUUCAAAGCACAAUCAAGCUUUUACAAAAGAACUCAUACCUUAACUAGUCUCUUCAGGUGUUCACUACAGGUGCAGGAGGAGCUCCGAGUUCUUAAUCUUUUCUUUUCUGAAUGCAAAGGCAGUCUUUCUCACAACCCUGCGCACGUCUGUCUCCAGGGUGUGUCAAGCCUAAAGCAUCAGAAGAAGGGUCUCUUGCCGUGUAGCCUUGGAUAAUCUUGAACUUGUAAUCCUGCCUCGAUGCUACCAUUGCUGGAAUGACUGGGUCACUCAUAAAGCCACAGACAUCACAGGUCAGUCCUGGCGUUGAAGGGAAUAAGGGUGGCAGUGAAUGAACACUUUUCCUUCACCUGCCUCAGAACAGCCACCCCUCCAACCCCCCUCGCUGCAAAGUUGGUUCAACAGAGCACCCCACAGCAUGGACAAGAUUCUUAACCUCAAGAUGUCUCUGUGGUCACAUGUGCUAUGUUGUCCUGGAGCAACGACUCAGGGCCCCUUGCCCUUGUAGAGAGAAGCUACUGUCCAGAGCUUGUUAGAACUGAAGGAAAAACACAAGGAAAAGAAGCUUAUGCAAGGUAUGGGGGGGUGAACUUGAGUGUGCCGGAUACUGCCAGAAAAGAGGGAGGGCACAAGCAUAGGGUGGAUGCAAGCCUGUUCUUCUCCAGUAGACACUUGGGGGAAAUUUUAUGAUGUCAAAUAAGUAUUCCUGGGCAUAAGAGGAGCAGGAAACAUGGAGUGGGAUUGGUGAUACCUUUCUCCAUCAUGAAACACAAAAGGAGAGUAAUGUGCAUGGUUUAAGAAGCAAAACCAGUGCACGUGAAGCCCCCUUUGUCUUUAGAGAGCAUGCGUGUGAUGGUUUAUAUAUACUUGACCCAGAGACUGAGACUGUUAGGAGGUGUGGCCUUGUUGGAGUGGGUGUGGUCUUGUUGGAAUGGAUGUGGCCUUGUUAG
This is a non-coding RNA of Rattus norvegicus (Norway rat), 1455 nucleotides long. The record is from RefSeq and is a predicted model, not a curated record. NCBI's taxonomy places the organism in Eukaryota, Metazoa, Chordata, Mammalia, Rodentia, Muridae.